This 85-nucleotide transfer RNA is filed under the name Flavobacteriales bacterium BRH_c54. RNAcentral's name for it is "tRNA-Ser". It matches the Rfam family "tRNA". From Rfam's summary of the family: Transfer RNA (tRNA) molecules are approximately 80 nucleotides in length. Lineage: Bacteria; Pseudomonadati; Bacteroidota; Flavobacteriia; Flavobacteriales. RNAcentral also lists the same sequence under 3 other names. The record is from RNAcentral.
AGAGAGGUGGCCGAGUGGCUUAAGGCGCACGCUUGGAAAGCGUGUAUACGGUAACGUAUCGGGGGUUCGAAUCCCUUCCUCUCUG